AAAAAACACCCCCUCCAUUUUUAACAGCUUUUCUUCCCCUUACAAACUUCUCUGUUCAGUGUACUUCUCUGUUCACAAGUCACUAUUUUCUCUCUCUACUCUCUCACUGCCAAUGGAGUCUCGCGUGUUGACCGGUGGCGCCACCGCCAUUCGCGGUGGUCUCCCACUUCUCCGGAAGCCGGCGGCAGUGAUGAAGUUCACCACCGCCGCUACUUGCGGCAGUAACAGGGACUUCCCUGCUGGUGCUGUUACGGCAAAACCAGUCGGACCUCUGAUUGCCGGCCCCAAUUUGAUUUGGGGACGACAAUUACGUCCGGCUAUCCUUCUCGAAGCUUCACCAAAGAGGGAAUCCAUUAAGCCGUGCUCCGCUGCAGCUUCUUCUUCCGCCGGAAGCAGCGAUUCCUCCGGGGAGGCUAAAAUCGGGUUUUUCAACAAAGCAACUCUGACUACCGGGUUUUUCUUCUUCAUGUGGUAUUUUCUGAAUGUGAUAUUCAAUAUCCUCAACAAGAAGAUCUACAAUUACUUUCCUUAUCCUUAUUUUGUUUCUGUUAUACAUUUGGCUGUUGGAGUGGUAUAUUGUUUGGUGAGCUGGGCUGUAGGUCUCCCAAAAAGAGCUCCUAUUGAUUCAACACAACUGAAGCUGCUCACCCCUGUUGCCUUUUGUCAUGCGCUUGGCCAUGUUACCAGCAAUGUCUCGUUUGCUGCAGUUGCUGUCUCAUUCACUCACACAAUUAAAGCUCUGGAACCUUUCUUCAAUGCUGCUGCAUCUCAGUUCAUUCUUGGACAACAAAUACCUUUAGCACUAUGGCUGUCACUUGCUCCAGUUGUCCUUGGUGUGUCGAUGGCUUCAUUGACUGAGCUAUCUUUCAAUUGGUUGGGUUUCACUAGUGCUAUGAUUUCUAACAUCUCCUUCACAUACAGGAGUAUAUACUCGAAGAAAGCUAUGACUGAUAUGGAUAGUACUAACGUGUAUGCCUACAUAUCCAUCAUUGCUCUUAUCUUUUGCCUCCCGCCUGCCAUUUUUAUUGAGGGACCUAAAUUGCUCCAAUAUGGAUUCAACGAUGCCAUUGCUAAAGUUGGUCUAACAAAAUUCAUAACGGAUCUCUUUUGGGUGGGAAUGUUUUAU
This 1126-nucleotide unclassified non-coding RNA is filed under the name Hevea brasiliensis (rubber tree). Lineage: Eukaryota; Viridiplantae; Streptophyta; Magnoliopsida; Malpighiales; Euphorbiaceae. The record is from RNAcentral.